AACGGGGGGGGCAAGUGUUCUUCGGAAUUACUGGGCGUAAAGCGUGCGCAGGCUGUUUUGUAAGUCAGAUGUGAAAUCCCCGAGCUCAACUUGGGAACUGCGUUUGAAACUACAAGACUAGAAUAUGUCAGAGGGGGGUAGAAUUCCACGUGUAGCAGUGAAAUGCGUAGAGAUGUGGAGGAAUAUCAAUGGCGAAGGCAGCCCCCUGGGAUAAUAUUGACGCUCAUGCACGAAAGCGUGGGGAGCAAACAGG
This 253-nucleotide ribosomal RNA is filed under the name uncultured bacterium. Its description in RNAcentral is "partial 16S ribosomal RNA". It matches the Rfam family "Bacterial small subunit ribosomal RNA", at positions 524 to 776 of the family's 1533-position model. The record is from RNAcentral.